RNAcentral lists this ribosomal RNA (1381 nucleotides) under Triticum aestivum (bread wheat). Its description in RNAcentral is "partial small subunit ribosomal RNA". The record is from RNAcentral. Lineage: Eukaryota; Viridiplantae; Streptophyta; Magnoliopsida; Poales; Poaceae.
GUGUUCUCUAUGCGUAUAUUCGUAACAUCGUAUACGCAACGUCUGAACAUUGUCCACUGGGGUAAAAUCAUGUAUCUAACCUUGGCCGGUGUUGAGGUUCAUUUCGGGGUACAUCGGAGAACAGAUCGGGUCGGGUUCAACCGAAAUUCCUAUUAGAAUCCAGCAAGGGUCAGGGGUCGGAGGGGACAAGGAGAGGAUUGGAGGGUGCGGCCGGCGGCGGGGAGCAGUCAACGGCGUGUACUCGUGAGGGGACGCUAGGAGAGAGGGCCGCACGGCAGGGAGUGGUGAGGGGACUCUUGGAGACAGGUCCGCGCGGCGGGGAGUUGUGAGGGGACGCUUGGAGGUAGGUCCGCGCGGCAGGGAGUAGAGGUGAGGGGCCGCUGGGACGUAGGGCCGUGCGGUAGGGAGCAGUGACGAGGGGACGUGCGCUGGUUGCCACUUAGGUUCCACCGAAUAUGUCGCAGUCACCUAUACCACAGUUGUUCUCCAAAUAACACAACAAACCGUCAUCCAAAAUAACAACAGGCACAAGGACGAGAAGCUAAGUUUGUUAGAAGAGCUAAUAACCUACUGAGUUCUUAACUCAGGACCAACGUGAAUACUACACCCGACUAUACCAACACACACAUCGGGACUGGUUUGAGACCGGGGAGGUUUCAAUCCACGUCCUCAAGUCCAAGUAAGAAGUAGUCAAAAUUACGGUUCCUAAGUAUAAACCUACUAUGAAGGACUAGUUGCCUAAAUACAGCUAUAACAAAAAAUUCUACCUCGAUGUAUUAACAAGCAACCACUAGCUGGAGUUAUUAGACCGCAAAGGUUAUACAACCACAAACUAGCUCAUAAGAACUUUUUCGGACCUUUUCGUAUUGCCUCUGUAUAGAGAACGAUGUCAACAUUCAACACAAGAAUUUAAAUUUGAACUACCACAACUUGAAUGUUUACUUAAGACCCUUCACGUACAGCUAUACCGUGAACACUUCUGAACGGUAAACCAUGCCUCAACGUUUGACGUAAUGAGAGCCAUUACGUCUGUUUUGUUUCUAACGUACCGGAAGUUGGAAAUAAGUUUUCUAUUUACCUACUAAUAUACCCACGGACCGUUCAUAUGACGUUACUUCUACUACUACAAGGACUAGUACUACUCUUCUACCUACGAAUCUCAAAAUCAAUUCAACAUCCCUGCUACAAGAAGCCAAUACAAAAUCAAUUCAACAUGCCUACAACUACCUACGAAAGUCAAAUUGAAAACGACAGUCCUUUUAUCAACCUAAUACGUAGUGUAGAGCUACUACAAGGAGGACAUUAUAGGUGAUAACAUUAGGUUGUAUAAAUAGAUUAUAUACUAAACAAGGAGGGUACUCAUAUAAUACAAUAAAAACAG